Molecule: ribosomal RNA, 497 nt
Filed under: uncultured bacterium
Lineage: Bacteria
Description: partial 16S ribosomal RNA
Rfam family: Bacterial small subunit ribosomal RNA
Source: RNAcentral
GAUGAACGCUGGCGGCGUGCCUAAUACAUGCAAGUCGAGCGAACGGACGAGAAGCUUGCUUCUCUGAUGUUAGCGGCGGACGGGUGAGUAACACGUGGAUAACCUACCUAUAAGACUGGGAUAACUUCGGGAAACCGGAGCUAAUACCGGAUAAUAUUUUGAACCGCAUGGUUCAAAAGUGAAAGACGGUCUUGCUGUCACUUAUAGAUGGAUCCGCGCUGCAUUAGCUAGUUGGUAAGGUAACGGCUUACCAAGGCAACGAUGCAUAGCCGACCUGAGAGGGUGAUCGGCCACACUGGAACUGAGACACGGUCCAGACUCCUACGGGAGGCAGCAGUAGGGAAUCUUGCGCAAUGGGCGAAAGCCUGACGGAGCAACGCCGCGUGAGUGAUGAAGGUCUUCGGAUCGUAAAACUCUGUUAUUAGGGAAGAACAUAUGUGUGAGUAACUGUGCACAUCUUGACGGUACCUAAUCAGAAAGCCACGGCUAACUACGUG